Camelina sativa (false flax) is the source of this 594-nucleotide long non-coding RNA. RefSeq lists it as uncharacterized. The record is from RefSeq and is a predicted model, not a curated record. NCBI's taxonomy places the organism in Eukaryota, Viridiplantae, Streptophyta, Magnoliopsida, Brassicales, Brassicaceae.
UCUCUUAGUUUCUUACAUUUUUCUCCAGCGAAACUUGAUGAAAUUUCCGAUCAGAGAUCUUCAUUUCUGAUCUCAGAUUUUCCCGUGAAGCUUCAAUCAGAGCGGGAAUGGUUUGAUUUCUUUCUCGAUUGUUUUGAUUUGGUCACUGGGUUUGAGUAUGGUGAUUUCUUCUCUGAAAAAGGUGGAAAAAGCUUGGAACUUGGGGAUUUUGUGGAGGUUUUGGUUUUGGAUGAGCUUGAUUUGGACUGAUCUGCUGAUUUCUUGAUCAAAGAAGUAACAAGUUUUGUGGAAUUUGUGAGUUUUGUUCCUAUGUGCCCUCAUUUGGAGCAGAUUAACAGAGAAAUUUGUGACCAUUUCUGAGCACUCACGUACUUUAAUACACUCGGCAACAAGAAAAUUGAACAUUUUGAUACUUUACAGUGGUGAAUCCACACCUGAAGAAAAAGUUCAAAUAGAUGUUGGUUUCAGACCUUUAUAAAAGUCAAGGUCAUUAUGGAAUGCCUUUCUAAAAUUCAAGAAUACCUUCCGAAAAACUAUGAAAUCCUUCCUGAUUUUUUUAAAAAUGUGUUUUAAAAUCUCUUUAUAUGUGUUUUG